AUUGAACGCUGGCGGCAUGCCUUACACAUGCAAGUCGAACGGCAGCACGGGUGCUUGCACCUGGUGGCGAGUGGCGAACGGGUGAGUAAUAUAUCGGAACGUACCUUAUUGUGGGGGAUAACGCAGCGAAAGCUGUGCUAAUACCGCAUAAUCCCUUAGGGGGAAAGCGGGGGACCGUAAGGCCUCGCGCAAUUAGAGCGGCCGAUACCUGAUUAGCUAGUUGGUGGGGUAAAGGCCUACCAAGGCUACGAUCUGUAGUUGGUCUGAGAGGACGACCAGCCACACUGGGACUGAGACACGGCCCAGACUCCUACGGGAGGCAGCAGUGGGGAAUUUUGGACAAUGGGCGCAAGCCUGAUCCAGCAAUGCCGCGUGCAGGAAGAAGGCC
RNAcentral lists this ribosomal RNA (388 nucleotides) under uncultured bacterium. Its description in RNAcentral is "bacterial SSU rRNA". It matches the Rfam family "Bacterial small subunit ribosomal RNA", at positions 30 to 416 of the family's 1533-position model. The record is from RNAcentral.